Helianthus annuus (common sunflower) is the source of this 435-nucleotide long non-coding RNA. RefSeq lists it as uncharacterized. The transcript is spliced from 3 exons. The record is from RefSeq and is a predicted model, not a curated record. NCBI's taxonomy places the organism in Eukaryota, Viridiplantae, Streptophyta, Magnoliopsida, Asterales, Asteraceae.
GCACCCGGGCGGCAUUGGUGCACUACGAUGGCAUACAGUGCUGACGAAACAAGGCUUUUGUCAUGUGGGACAAGCAAAGACGGGGAAUCAAACAUUGUCGAAUGGAACAAGAGUGAAGGGGCGGUUAAAAGAACGUAUCUUGGUUUCCGUAAACGAUCUUUAGGUGUCGUACAGUCUGAUACAACAAAAAAACAGACUUAUAGCAGCUGGUGAUGAGUUUUUAAUUAAAUAUUGGGAUAUGGAUAGCGUUCAGCUUUUGACAAGUGUUGAUGCUGAUGGAGGUCUUCCGGCAAGCCCACGAAUCCGUUUUAACAAAGACGGUGCUCUUUUGGCUGUUUCUGCUCAAGAUAACGGUAUAAAAUUUUAGCAAAUUAUGAUGGACUUCGGUUUACUUCGAAUGUUUGAAAAUAUUUCGUUUGAUGGUUCUGCCUCAAU